CGCGUAGGCGGGAUGGUAAGUCGGUCGUGAAAUCCCUCGGCUCAACCGAGGAACGUCGAUCGAUACUACCGUUCUUGAGGAUUGCAGAGGAGACUGGAAUUCCCGGUGUAGCGGUGAAAUGUGUAGAGAUCGGGAGGAACACCGGUGGCGAAGGCGGGUCUCUGGGCAAUUCCUGACGCUGAGGCGCGAAAGCGUGGGGAGCAAACGGGAUUAGAUACCCCGGUAGUCCACGCUGUAAACGAUGAGCACUAGGUGUGGGGGGGUUCAGUCCCUUCCGUGCCGCAGCUAACGCAUUAAGUGCUCCGCCUGGGGAGUACGGCCGCAAGGUUAAA
This 332-nucleotide ribosomal RNA is filed under the name uncultured bacterium. RNAcentral describes it as "bacterial SSU rRNA". It matches the Rfam family "Bacterial small subunit ribosomal RNA", at positions 568 to 898 of the family's 1533-position model. The record is from RNAcentral.